Long non-coding RNA from Cavia porcellus (domestic guinea pig), 942 nucleotides. RefSeq lists it as uncharacterized. The record is from RefSeq and is a predicted model, not a curated record. The transcript is spliced from 2 exons. Lineage: Eukaryota; Metazoa; Chordata; Mammalia; Rodentia; Caviidae.
CAUUUAGUGGGGAAGAAAAAAAUGAGAGAAGUGCUUUCUAAUCCGGCUACUCCACGCACUCGAGAUGUUUUCUUGGGCCUCCUCUACAGAUAUACUUGGGAUCAAAUGGAGUGUGAGGAUCAUUAAGUCACUCUGGAAUGCAGUCUAGCAGCCCCGAGGAGGCGAAGGCUGGCUCAGAACUCCUCUGGACGGCUGCGCACCAACGUGUUACUCAUGUCUCCAGUGCGCCUCCAGCAGCUUGGGUUUCCAGGACUGCUGUGACUGGCGGGCCCCAUUUCUUCUAAGAGGCCUCUACUAUCAGUCGUGCUUCCAUACAGUUUUCAAGAGCCAUCUCAACUCAGCUGGACGUUUCUCAAGGUCCUACAACUGCGUUGUAAGCAUUGUGUUAGAUUGUGGAACCGCAAAGGUUAAUGAUAUGCAAACAUGCUUCCUAAUUUCCUGGAAGAGAAGGAAGGCAAGAACGAAUGCUAACUGAAUGUAUGUGAACAAGUAUAUCAUACUGCACGAGGGGAAAUACAAAGCACCCAGCAGUCAGCCCGCCUUCCUCCUGUCCCACCCAUGAUCACGCAGCCUGGUCCAGCCACCUCCCAAAGCAACAAGCAGGAAGCGCCGGGCUCUCAUCACAGUGAUGGCAUUCGUUAGUAAUAGACUUUGGCAAGAUUAUCCCCCUACUGGAAUCUCAAUUCUUUUUUCUAAAUAAAAGAGCAUCUUUCUCGCAUAUUGAUAUGAUUUAAUUAGAUCAUGUAGUGAUGUGACUGGUUCUAAAGUAAAAAUCUUAUACUUCAUCCUCUUCUAUUUGAGAGGGCUGUUGGGAAACUUGUGAUUCUUGGUACUUCUCCAUAGCAAAAGUGAUUGUACUUUUAAAAUGAAAAAUCUGGAGAGAAAGUUUAAAACACAAUUUGUCUAAUUUGUAAGUUCAUUCCUAAUAAGAGUCUUGCACAA